Molecule: transfer RNA, 74 nt
Filed under: Mycoplasma sp. CAG:472
Lineage: Bacteria; Bacillati; Mycoplasmatota; Mollicutes; Mycoplasmatales; Mycoplasmataceae
Rfam family: tRNA
About the family: Transfer RNA (tRNA) molecules are approximately 80 nucleotides in length. Their secondary structure includes four short double-helical elements and three loops (D, anti-codon, and T loops).
Source: Rfam by way of RNAcentral
GGGAGAUUAGCUCAGUUGGUUAGAGCAUCUGCCUUACAAGCAGGGGGUCAUAGGUUCGAGUCCUAUAUCUCCCA